CCUUUGUCGUAACCAGAAUAAAUCAAUUGAUUAUCUUUCAAUGCAAUACCAUAACUUUUUGAAUCCAGUAAAUUAGUUUUCUUGAUUUGUUUUCUCUUUAUGUCUAUAAUGGUAAUACCAUGCGUACUUGAAUAAUCAGAUGUAACAGCCAAUGUAUUGUUCUCACUAUUGUACACUACAUCACACGGGUUAUGCGGUAUCUUCACCUCAAAGUCUUUUGAUCCUUUAUCGUUGAAUACUUUUACUCUCUGUUCAUAGUCGUAAGUGAAUGCCAAUUGACCAUCCGGUAGAAUGCAACAUCCAUGAACGUGUUCUCCUUGAGUGUUGAUAGUUUUGUGUAUUGUUAGCUCAAUAUUUUCAAUAGAUCUUGAUUGAACGGCUUUCUUUAACACACUUGCUGCAGCAGGGACAUUGAUGCUUUUGACAGUAUAUCUGAAACUUUUCGUCGUGUUUGCUACAAUACUGAGUAUUUUUUAAUACAUCAAUUGGUAAUUUAUGGUAAUCAUUAAUAGGUAUCACGUUAUGAUUUCUCAAUGCUUUUGACAAACUGUGAUGUUCCUGACAUUCUGUACAUAGUCCCUCGUCACAUUCUGUACACUAGACU
This 604-nucleotide long non-coding RNA is filed under the name Mytilus galloprovincialis (Mediterranean mussel). Lineage: Eukaryota; Metazoa; Mollusca; Bivalvia; Mytilida; Mytilidae. The record is from RNAcentral.